AAAGGUGUUUUGAGGAGUUCGCAAAGACACGACUUUUGAGAGCUUUGAAACCCAGCACUGUUUGUCCACAUAUGUAGAAAGUGACUGCAGCUCUGCCUCCAACAUGAGUCAACAUAGAGACUCUGCUGGAAGACAUGGAGAUACAAG
This is a long non-coding RNA of Clupea harengus (Atlantic herring), 147 nucleotides long. RefSeq lists it as uncharacterized. Lineage: Eukaryota; Metazoa; Chordata; Actinopteri; Clupeiformes; Clupeidae. The transcript has 2 exons. The record is from RefSeq and is a predicted model, not a curated record.